GACGAACGCUGGCGGCGUGCUUAACACAUGCAAGUCGAACGAUGAAGCCGGAGCUUGCUCUGGUGAAUUAGUGGCAAACGGGUGAGUAACACGUGAGUAACCUGCCCUUGACUCUGGGAUAACUGCGGGAAACUGUAGCUAAUACCGGAUACGACCCUCGGAGGCAUCUCCUGGGGGUGGAAAGAAUUUCGGUCAAGGAUGGACUCGCGGCCUAUCAGCUAGUUGGUGAGGUAAAGGCUCACCAAGGCGACGACGGGUAGCCGGCCUGAGAGGGUGACCGGCCGCACUGGGACUGGGACACGGCCCAGACUCCUACGGGAGGCAGCAGUGGGGAAUAUUGCACAAUGGGCGCAAGCCUGAUGCAGCAACGCCGCGUGAGGGAUGACGGCCUUCGGGUUGUAAACCUCUUUUAGCAGGGAAGAAGCGAAAGUGACGGUACCUGCAGAAAAAGCACCGGCUAACUACGUGCCAGCCGCCGCAGUAA
This 484-nucleotide ribosomal RNA is filed under the name uncultured bacterium. RNAcentral describes it as "partial 16S ribosomal RNA". It matches the Rfam family "Bacterial small subunit ribosomal RNA", at positions 28 to 523 of the family's 1533-position model. The record is from RNAcentral.